AGUGAACGCUGGCGGUAGGCCUAACACAUGCAAGUCGAACGGCAGCACAGUAAGAGCUUGCUCUUACGGGUGGCGAGUGGCGGACGGGUGAGGAAUACAUCGGAAUCUACUUUUUCGUGGGGGAUAACGUAGGGAAACUUACGCUAAUACCGCAUAUGACCUACGGGUGAAAGCAGGGGAUCUUCGGACCUUGCGCGAUUGAAUGAGCCGAUGUCGGAUUAGCUAGGUGGCGGGGUAAAGGCCCACCAAGGCGACGAUUCGUAGCUGGUCUGAGAGGAUGAACCGGCACACUGGAACUGAGAAAAGGUCCCGACUCCUACGGGAGGCAGGAGGGGGGAAUAUUGGACAAAUGGGGGAAGGCUGGUCCAGCCAUCGCGGGUGGGUGGAGAAGGCCUUCGGGUUGGAAAGCCCUUGUGUUGGGAAAGAAAAGAAGCAGGUAAAUACCAUGCUGUUCUGACGGUACCCAAAGAAUAAGCACCGGCUAACUUCGUG
This 492-nucleotide ribosomal RNA is filed under the name uncultured bacterium. RNAcentral's name for it is "partial 16S ribosomal RNA". It matches the Rfam family "Bacterial small subunit ribosomal RNA", at positions 29 to 507 of the family's 1533-position model. The record is from RNAcentral.